Molecule: long non-coding RNA, 432 nt
Organism: Drosophila willistoni
Lineage: Eukaryota; Metazoa; Arthropoda; Insecta; Diptera; Drosophilidae
Exons: 2
Source: RefSeq, a predicted model, not a curated record
CUGAAAUAUCUGUGUAAAUCAGGUCAAAAUUCUUUGAAUUUAAGUUCUUAAUUUUUUCUUUAUACAGGGAGAGUAUCAUUGUUUCAUUUGCAUCUCUUUUGUUUUUAAAGGCACCUUUGGAAAAAUUGGCAUCUAUGAAGAUUUUUCGUGUGCGUAUAGGAGUUGGUUCUAUGGGUGUAAUGUUGUCCAGGAUAUCUUUAAAUUCAGCAUACACUUUGGACACUGGACACUGGACAGAAGCGACGCCGCUGGCAGGCCAUAAGCCAAGACCCUGACCAGUUCUUUUGCUGUGUUGCAUUUGCAAAUGAUGAGCUUGCAUAUUCAUACCUGUUCCUUGUAAAGGCCUUAAAGAAAAGAAUUGCAUUUUUGGGAUGGGUGCCAAAACGACAGCCAUUAAUCAUAUGAAGAAAUAUAUUUGUUUUGUUUCCUUUA